GGUAUAUACCCAUCACCAUCAAGAUAAUAUAUACCUGGGAAACUUCUAAAUGAUAAGAUGCCCAAGCAUAUUCUUUACCACUGAGCCACUGGAGAAGCCCUUAUGUUGUAUGCAUUUAUAAAACUCUAGCCCUAUACUGAGAACAAGUCAGUGGCAGACCCUGAGCUACAGCUAUGGCAUCUAAAAUAUCUUCUGUUGAUCCUUCUGUCAUCUUUAGUGAGUCAAGUUUAGGCAGUCAUUUAAGAGGGUAUGUCUGGACACAGACAUGCAUAGAGGGAGAAUACCACAUGAAGAGAAAGGCAAAGAUUAGGUGAUUCAGCAGAAGUCACAGGAUGUCAAAGAUUGCCAGCAAAACUACCAGAUGCUAGGAGAGAGGAGGCAUGGAACAGAUUCCUCCCUCCCAACUCUUAGAAG
Bos taurus (domestic cattle) is the source of this 414-nucleotide long non-coding RNA. Lineage: Eukaryota; Metazoa; Chordata; Mammalia; Artiodactyla; Bovidae. The record is from Ensembl.